Molecule: long non-coding RNA, 547 nt
Organism: Daucus carota subsp. sativus
Lineage: Eukaryota; Viridiplantae; Streptophyta; Magnoliopsida; Apiales; Apiaceae
Exons: 2
Source: RefSeq, a predicted model, not a curated record
ACUUCACAAAUAAACAAAAACAAAAUGAGGGUUCUAUAUUUCAAGCCAUAGGCCAUAGCAUGCUUGCCAAGAGAAUGAUACACCAGAAACUAGCUUCUAUCUGAUCUCACACGUUACUCCGCUCACAUCGUCUAUGAAACUAACAGCAAGGAAUGACAGAUAAUAAUUUCCGAUGAUCGCUAGCUAAGAAGGGCUCUGAUAACAUGAAUGAGAUCCGAGAAAGGGCUGGAAAGUAUAUUAAGACAGAUGAAAGCGUGAGCAAAUCCCAGCCAGGGACAAUCCACAAAUUCUAAAAAAUGUGGAAACGAUACGGAGUACAAUGCAAAAAGCAAGUAGUCGAAGACUGGAGAUGGUGUGGGAUUACCGUCUAAGAAGAAAAACAGGACCGAGGUUCAUGGAAUAUGUGAAGCUGAAUGCUCCAAGGAGUCAGAUCCUAAUGAAAUGAGAAAAUUGACAUAGUUUGACGGCCGAAGCCUAUAAGUUUGUUCUAAUGUUUGUACAGUUUCAUCGUAUCAAUAUACUUUCUGAAACAGCUCAACUCAAGCCA